This is a long non-coding RNA of Gopherus flavomarginatus (Mexican gopher tortoise), 342 nucleotides long. RefSeq lists it as uncharacterized. NCBI's taxonomy places the organism in Eukaryota, Metazoa, Chordata, Testudines, Testudinidae. The transcript has 3 exons. The record is from RefSeq and is a predicted model, not a curated record.
ACGCGGAGGGAGCUUCUGGUCCGGUGGAAGACAGGAAUCUCUGCAGUGGACCUCACCUACUUGAGCAGCUGCUGGGGCUUCCAACGUCAUCCCUGCCAGGGCCCCAUCAAAACUGUUCGAAUUGGGCCCCGCACUUGCUAAAGCCGGCCCUGGCUGAGAGUAUGCACACAUUCCAUGAAAUAUGGCAGAAAUCAGAAAUAACUUAAUUGAAGGCAGUGGUGUUACUGAGAUUCAAUCCCUGGACUGUGAAUGGGAGCCAAACAAGCAAUUUUGUUUAGGAAAACCCCUCAUGAUAUGGAAUACAAUUUGAUUGUGCUUCUAAAAAUGAUUUCCAAAUCAUUU